Molecule: unclassified non-coding RNA, 2403 nt
Filed under: Thrips palmi
Lineage: Eukaryota; Metazoa; Arthropoda; Insecta; Thysanoptera; Thripidae
Description: calcium/calmodulin-dependent protein kinase type II alpha chain, transcript variant X1
Source: RNAcentral
UUGAGCACUACGUUGUCAAGUCACAUCCGAAAAACUUGUGUUUGAUUUGCAAACGUACAGGUGGACUGUCUGAACCUUUAGUGUCAAGCCGUUUAUUUUUUAACGUUAAUACGCAGUGAUCUGUUGGCCAUCUGAAAAGUGUGUGCGGUUUGCAGAAGUGAGGCAUGUGAGCAUGCUUUGUAUCGAUCGACCGUGCCCGUCCCCGUCGUGUCCGUCGUCGAGCUCCUCAGCGUAGUUGUUGGGCUUUCAGUAGUGAAGGAACUCACAGUGAUUCGGCAUGGCUGCUCCCGCAGCUUGUACCCGUUUCAGUGAUAACUAUGACCUCAAGGAGGAGCUUGGAAAGGGCGCCUUCUCGGUGGUGCGACGAUGCGUCCAAAAGUCGACCGGUCUCGAGUUCGCCGCCAAAAUUAUCAACACGAAGAAGCUCUCCGCCAGAGACUUCCAGAAGCUGGAGAGAGAAGCCCGCAUCUGUCGGAAACUGCAGCACCCCAAUAUAGUGCGGUUACAUGACAGUAUACAGGAAGAACACUUCCACUACCUGGUGUUUGAUUUAGUGACUGGGGGCGAGUUGUUUGAGGAUAUUGUUGCUCGAGAAUUUUACAGUGAGGCUGAUGCUUCCCAUUGCAUCCAGCAGAUAUUGGAAAGUGUUCACCACUGCCAUUCAAAUGGUGUUGUGCACAGAGAUCUCAAGCCUGAAAAUUUACUUUUGGCAAGUAAGGCAAAGGGCGCAGCUGUGAAGCUCGCAGACUUUGGCUUGGCCAUUGAAGUUCCUGGGGAGCAACAAGCUUGGUUUGGAUUUGCUGGAACUCCUGGAUAUUUAUCACCUGAAGUCUUAAAAAAGGAGCCUUAUGGCAAACCAGUAGAUAUCUGGGCAUGUGGUGUGAUCCUGUAUAUCCUGUUAGUGGGAUACCCUCCUUUUUGGGAUGAGGACCAACACCGCUUGUAUGCUCAAAUCAAAAUAGGAGCCUAUGAUUACCCAUCUCCAGAGUGGGACACUGUCACUGCUGAAGCGAAAAGCCUUAUCAACGAAAUGUUGACUGUUAAUCCCUCAAAACGAAUCACUGCCUCUGAGGCACUGAAGCACCCAUGGAUCUGCCAACGAGAGCGAGUGGCAUCAAUGGUCCACAGACAAGAGACUGUGGACUGUUUGAAGAAAUUCAAUGCAAGGCGCAAACUCAAGGGUGCCAUUUUAACCACAAUGCUUGCCACUCGCAACUUUUCCAGUAAGUAUGAUGCACAUGGCCGAAGUAUUAUUACCAAGAAAGGAGAUGGAUCCCAAGUUAAAGAAUCCACAGACAGCAGCACAACAUUGGAGGACGAUGAUAUCAAAGAGGAUAAAGUUAAGGGUGGCGUAGACCGGAGUUCGACCGUAAUUGCUAAAGAGCCAGAAGAAAUAAGGAUUGUGUGCCCAAACAAGACAUGUUCGCAGCUCUCCACAAGUUCCUAUGGCUCAGAUUUAGUUUUUUGAUUUGCUGCUGUAUAUGUGCUACAUUGGAUUGAAUGAGCUUCAAAACUUAAACCAGCAUGUUUUUGCAACAGUUAUUUCCUUUUGCUUGCUUUUCAUUUAAAUGUUGUGGCAGUUCUAUCUGAUUUGACUUUUCUUUUCCUUGUUUACUUUUGAUUGUGACAUUUUGAAUAAAUGCACUAAUAUGUAUCUAUCUGAAGACACCUUAAAUGGAGCAACAGUGUUAGGCUAGUUUCCUUUUGCACAGGCCAAUUGGGAUACUACAAUCUUGUUAUUUUGAUUUGCACUACCAAUGGCUAUGGAAAUGUUGAUCUGUACUUUGGAGAAUAACUUAGAAUGGAGAGACCAUCUCUCUAGUGAAGGAGUGUAAUGUGAGGUCUUAAGCCUGUUGAUAUGCCAAGAGACUGUUUAGGUGUUUGCACUCUAAUUUGCCUAUGUCGAACACAUGAGAAUUUUCCAGCACUCAACCAUUUUUGUGGCAGAAAAUAACUAAAGCUGAUUGAUGUUUUUAAGUGCAUCAGAAGAGAGGUGUGAAGUAAACAUUUCAGGUUGAAUAAGGAAGAGAUAUUGACUGUUUUGUUGCGUGACUUGAAGUGAAGGAAGGGUAGUGGUCUUGAAACAGUUAUAUUCUUCCACCUAGCUAAGUAGCUUCUCUGUGUGAUCUUCAGUACUCUUAUAUGUUUUGUCUUUUGUUUCCUGUGUCAUUAUGAAUGCUCUUUUUACCCAAUAGAUACUGUGUUGCAAUACGAUUUCACUACUUCCAUGUCAGUUUAAACAACCACUUUCAUUACCCUUCUCUUUGGUGUAGUGAAACAUGUGCUCCACAUGUUGUGUGAUUAGGUUUCCCUCCCCCUAUCUUCAUUUCUUAAGUUUGCAUAAUGCAUAUGACACAGUGGUCUUUCUGUUUUUAUCCCUUUCUGAAAGUUAAUGUGUGCUUG